GAAAGUUACAGCUUUGCCCUCAAUGUUUGCAAUGACUGUGGACUCUUAUUCAGGCCUGACAGGGCACAACUUAUUUGUCAGGGCUGACAGUCCAUUUUUUCCUCAGUCAAAAUGUGGAACUGAGAAGGAAAUGUUGACCGUCAUCUCAGGCAUGUGUUAGAUGACACCGUCUCACCAGGACAGGUGUGAUAAAGAAUUCGAGGAACGCUGCUUCCAGGUCGCAUCCUGUGGAAGGGGGCUGCUGAAACGUCUGAGUCCAUCCCCACCUCCUCAUCUACCUUGUUCACCAGAACUGGUGCUGUGCGACCUUUGGCUGUUCUCUCAAGUAAAAGGGAUCACAAAAGGUAAAUGUUUUGAAUCUAUUUAGGGCAUUAGGGCAGCCACAAUAGCACAACUAAAGACA
This 403-nucleotide long non-coding RNA is filed under the name Chinchilla lanigera (long-tailed chinchilla). RNAcentral describes it as "lncRNA (ENSCLAG00000023181.1)". The record is from RNAcentral. Lineage: Eukaryota; Metazoa; Chordata; Mammalia; Rodentia; Chinchillidae.